This 4887-nucleotide long non-coding RNA is filed under the name Sus scrofa (pig). RNAcentral describes it as "lncRNA (ENSSSCG00060004568.1)". The record is from RNAcentral. Lineage: Eukaryota; Metazoa; Chordata; Mammalia; Artiodactyla; Suidae.
GGCAUUGCCACAGCUACAGUAUAGAUUGAAACCGAGGCUCCAAUCCGAUCCCUGACCUGGGAACCCCAUAGGCUGAGAGGCAGCCAAAAAGAAAAGAAAAGAAAAAUGUCAGCAACAAAACUGUCCCACGUUUGUCUGGCUCUAGCACAUGCUGUGUUUCAUUUGACCUUAACCAGAACACCAGUGAAGGUCAUUGUUAGUCCCAUGGUACAAAAGGGGAAAAGUAAGAUGUUGAGAGGAACAGUCACAUGACAGGAUACACAACGAGAUAUAGAAGCAUGAGAGGGAAGAGGCAGAACAUAAACUCAAACUCUAAACCAAGGUUCAUUCCUUCGGUCUCAUUACAGCAACUUCACGUCUAUAAGCAUCCUCUGCUUUCUGACCAUGGACCUUUUUCACUUGGUACUGUUCAAACAGCCAAUUCAUGAGAAAGUUUCAACUUUUGCCUGAACCCCAGCAAUGAGUUGUCCCCUUCUUGACGGCAGUGCACAGCCUUGCCCACCUAGCACACAAAAUGCUUUCUUUUCUAGUCCAGAAGAACAAAGACACCAGGAAAGAGGCAGGCACUGCCCACCCCAGUCAGAGCGCUUCUGUGAACAGGCUGUACAGCUCACUUUGCUCUGCCUUAGUUUUAUCAUCUCCAAAUGGGAACUCCAGCCCUUAACCAUCUCAUCGGGUUGUUGCGAAGACAAACUGAGAUAACAUAUGUAAAGCAUUCUGUAAACGUUACAAGCGCUGUACAAAUUUAGGCAUCAUUAUUACAAAGGCAAUAAAAGAAUUGAUCACACUGAUAAAUGGCAAGCAUGUUUUCGUGCCUGCGUAGUUUCCAAGAACGGCAGUAAUUGCACUUGGCAGAUAAAUCGGUGGCAGUUAACCAAGGCCCAGUGGAUUGGAGAAAGGCACAACUUGGCCAAAUCCAAAUGAUUUUAAAGACUCUAUAAAAAUAAACACGUAUUCCAAUAUAAUUAAUUCCAGUUCUGUCAAUCCUUCCUGCUACUUGGAGCAAUGUGGCUUGUUAUGAAGCAAUUAUCCUUUGAAUCCUUUUAAUCCCUGCUGACCAUUUUCAGCUUUAAUUGUCUUGCUGGGUUUGAAUGUUGUUAUAGUUCAAAUGCAGCCAAUUAGCACAGGCCGGGCCAUCUCGUGAUGAUUCUCGUGCAAAGAACACGCCUUGAAAUCCCUGGUGGACUUUGUUCCAGUUUAUCCUUGCAGUCACAGCUCAUGCCUUCAGGUGCUGUUUGGAGGAGGAAGGGCCAGCAGAGGCUCAGAGCAAGCACCAAAAGCAGUCAGCCAUGUUCACCAGGGCUCAACAAAAAUGUAAAACAUCCUUAUAACACUGGUGUCCCGGGAUAUCUGGGUAGGACGCAAGCCCUGGUCACUGGAGAUGUUUAAACAGAUGGCGCAGGAAGGUGAUGAGCAUCUGGAUGGGGGUGUGGAGAGGCAGGAAGGUGACCUUCAUGAUCACAAAGAUUUCUUCCUCCCCUUAGGGCCCAGGAUCCAAUGUGAUUUGGCAAAUGAGAAAACCGGCAUGGUGGAGAAAAACGGCGGAAGAGUGGAAGACUGUCAGCUUUGGAUCCAGGAUGUAUAAGCUCGAGUCCUAGUUCUGCCAUCCAACCAACUGAAAACUGUAAGAUUCAGAGCAAGAAGUACGUCUCUUCGGGGCUUGUUCUCUUAUGAUGGGAACAAUUAGUAUUUCACCUCUCGGUGCCUCUGUGGCCCCAUAUGAAAAGCGAUGCUAAUAGAAGCAUUCACUUCCUAAAGCUGUUCUGAAUAUUAAAUGAGUGAGCAUAUGUAAUACAUUUAGCACAGUUUCUGCCACAUAAACGCCCAGUCCUUAAGCCAUGUCACCACCAUCAUCUUUAUUCUCUUUCAGUGGCAUUAUAACUGCUAUUUCUACUUCCUGCCUAGCCCCCAGCCCCCUGCCCUUCUGCCUCUAUCCUCCACAGUGCUGCUGGAUGCUCUCUCUAAAUAUAAGUCCAAUCCUUUCCUUCAUUUAUUUUUUGUUUGUUUGUUGGGGUAGGGGGUGGGGGAUGGCCAAACCUAUGGCAUGUGGAAGUUCCCAAGCCAGGGAUCACACCUGCACCACAGCAGUGACCCAAACCACAGUAGUGACAAUGCUGGGUCCUUUACCUACUGAGCCACCAGGGAACUCCCUGUUCUUCAUUUAAAUAAAACCCUUCUGUUGUUCUCCAGCACCUAUAAGAUAAAGCCCAUGUUUCUCAACCCAGUGAGAAACACCCUUCAGAGCCAGUUCCGGGGAUCUCUCUGACAUCAUUGUUCCUUCCCCCCCUUCCUCCUGCCUCCCUUGCAGCUUUUCUUCCAAACCACUCACUGUUCUCCAGGUCCCCACUUCCUGACCCACAGUAAGUAGUUAUUAUGUGUUAACUAUCUGGUUUUUAAGUCAAUGAUCUUAGCAUAUCCGAGAUACUUAUGGCAGGAGUUUAAAAUCUUGGGAGAAGUAUGAGUCUAAAUCUCAAUUUUGCUGUGUAGCAUGGAGAAAGUGUCUUAACCACUCUGUGCCUCCAUUUCCUCAUUAGUAACAGAUGGGAACAAUAAUUCCUUGUUGUAGAUUAAUGUUGAAGAAUAUAUGGGAUAACCUGUGUAUUGAAUCUGCCACAAUACUUGGCACACAGUGGGAGCUGUGGAACUAUUUGCUUUCCGCCUUUCAAUCUAAAUUGAUCCUUGAGCCAAUAAGCAGGGCAUCAUCAGCAAAGACCCAAACGCCCAGAGUAGUUGUCAUCCGGCAACAGAUUUAGCUGUAAAAAUAUUCAAUGGUCAAUGACUGACACAGGCCCAGUGCUUGUUACUGGGGACACAGAUGAGGAGCAUAGACAGUGAUGGGGAAGCUGAGUCUCACUUGAAAGACCUCAAACCAGACCUGCAGGAAUUCACCUAGUGAGGCCAGUUAUAAAGCAAAGGGGGAAGGUUGCUCACCAGAGGUUCUGAAAGGGCCUAAGUUUGAGAGUCUCAUCCUUCCCCAAAAUGGGGAGAAUUAGUCAGGCUUGUCCUUCCCCUCAUUAAAAGGCAACCAAGGGAUUCCCUUGUGGUGCAGUGGGUGAAAGAACCAGCAUUGUCACUGCAGUGGCUUGGGUCGCUGCUGUGGCAGAGGUUCAACCCUCAACCCCCAGCUGGGGAACUUCCGUAUGCUGUGUGUGCAGCCUCCCCCCACCCCCCCAAAAAAGGCAGUCAAAAAUGAGUGAACACUUAUAUGUGGAAUCUAAAAUAUGCCACAAAUGAACCUAUCUACAAAACAGAAACAGACUCACAGACACUAAUAACAGACUUGUGGUUGCCAAGGGGGAGGAAGGAGUGGGAUGGACUGGAAAUUUGGGGUUAGUAGGUGCAAACUAGUACAUUUAGAAUGGAUAAGGAAUGAGGUCCUACUGCAUAGCACGGGGAACUAUAUCCAAUCUCCUGGAAUAGACCCUGAUGGGUGAGAAUGUACAUAUACGCUGUAUAUGAUCAUGUGUGACUGGGUCACUUUGCUGUACAGCAGAAAUCCGCACAACACUGUAAAUCAAAUACACUUUAAUAAAAAAAUGGAAAGAACAGACAGUAAUCACCAUCUUAUAUAACCUCAUCCUGUUCAAGACAUCUCACUCCUGCCACACGCUGCACAUUAGAAGCAAGUUACCGGGUUCAGCUCACACCCAUGGGAGAGGAUUUUCCAGGGCUUGAAGGAAUAAGUGAACAACAUGGAGUUCCCGUCGUGGCGCAUGGAAAUGAAUCCGACUAGGAACCAUGAGGUUGCGGGUUCAAUCCCUGCCCUUGCUCAGUGGGUUAACGAUCCGGCAUUGCCGUGAGCUGUGGUGUAGGUUGCAGACGCGGCUCAGAUCCCCGUGUUGCUGUGGCUCUGGCAUAGACCGGUGGCUACAGCUCCGAUUGGACCCCUAGCCUGGGAAUCUCCAUAUGCCGCAGGAGCGGCCCAAGAAAUAGCAAAAAGACCAAAAAAAAUAAUAAUAAUAAUAAGUGAACAACAUGAGUGACCACUUCAGGGACUCCUGAUGAGUGGAGAAAUCCAAGCCACAUUGACAAAGACCAUACUUUAAGGUUUCACCCUACAUGCCCCCCUACCCAGCUGUAUUAUCUGGACUAUAUAGAGCAAAAGUAUAAAAAGUCUACUUUUCUCAGACUUUGGGGAUCACUCCAGGCUGGUGGAGUCUAAGGGUCUUCUGGGCCCAUCAUCACUUCCAAACCCACCCUCGCCAUCAGAUCCACCCACUGCUCCACCAUCUUCCAGAUCCUUCCCUCCCACUGUAUUUUGGGUGGACUUAUUCCCCCUUCAAGGCUGAUUUUCUUGGUGGUGGUGUUUUUAUUUUCUAUUGGAGCACAGUUGACUUACAAUGUCACAUUAAUUUCAAGUGCAUGGCAAAGUGAUUCAGUUAUAUAUAUACAUAUAGCCAUUCUUUUUCAGAUUCUCUUCCCAUAUAGGUCAUUACCAAGUAUUACGUAGAGUUCCCUGCACUAUACCAAGGUUGAUCUUGAUAUACAUUUUGACUGUAUUUCACCUGCUAUAAACAUCGCAGGGGAAAGAAUGACACAUGACUAUCUUGUCCACAUUAUUACACCCCUCAACGAUUACCUGGACUCCCCUACCUUUUCCUGAGAAGAGCCUGGGAUUGGAGAAAUGAAGGGAGGACAGAGUAGAGAGUUAGAAAGAAGAAGGGAAGACAAGAAACGGGUGAAGGAGGGAGGAAGAAAAGUGAGGGGGGAAGAAGUGAUCAGAUUUUGACUCUGAGGAAAGACUUCCACAUGCAUGUGUCUCACUGGAAGCUCUUUGAAGUGGAAGCUCUAGCAAUAUUAUUCGACUUUUACAAACAACAGCAUAUAUUCAUCGAAUAAAAUAAAUAUGUGUGGAGUACCUGCUGUGGUGCAACAGAAAUGAAUCCG